ACCCGAGGCUCAACGCUUCUCAGUCUCUUGAACUAGCCUUCAUUGUUGCUGAACGGCUGAGGAAGAGAAGAACCGCUACUCAGCGUCUCUCUUAAGUUGCCAUCUUCUUUUCUCUCUUUUGUUUUUGUGAGUUUGGUGUCUUUAUGACCUGCCUCUUUAGGAGGAGUAAACCUUGCUUGAACCUUGUUACGUUUUGCUCUCUGCCCAGACAAUCUCACGUCUUUGUUGUUUCAAUUUAAUGUUAAAACUGUAUGAAUGCUACUACUGUAAACUCCUCCUUAUUACAUAUAUAUAUAUACAGUAUCUACCAACUUGGAACUCGUUCAGUGUGACUAACCUCGUUACUCAACAAGGCCCAUUAGCUCAGUUGGUUAGCGCGUCGUGCUAAUAACGCGAAGGUCGCAGGUUCGAAACCUAAAUCCCAACAACAAACCUGGAAGAAUCACUGUGAUUGUGAGAAUGGGUGCAGAGAACAUGAGAGUUAAGCUUCCUCACCUAAUCAGAGCAGUGCGCAGGUCAGGCCAGAUUGUGACAUGGGUCUGCGACCCAAUGCAUGGAAACACCAUCAAAGCACCUUGCGGUCUCAAAACAAGAGCCUUUGACUCUAUCCUGGUACACACUCUUCCAUCAGCAUAACAUGUGUAUAUACUUAGCUUUUGCAUGUAUUUAUAAUCUUUUUUUAAACAGGCUGAAGUGAGAGCGUUCCUUGAUGUGCACGAGCAAGAAGGAAGCCACGCGGGAGGUAUCCAUCUAGAGAUGACAGGACAGAACGUGACAGAGUGCAUUGGAGGGUCCCGUACUGUGACAUACGAUGACUUAAGCUCACGCUACCACACACACUGUGACCCGAGGCUCAACGCUUCUCAGUCUCUUGAACUGGCCUUCAUUGUUGCUGAACGGCUGAGGAAGAGAAGGACCGCUACUCAGCGUCUAUCUUAAGUUGCCGUUUUAUUUUCUCUCUUUUGUUUUUGUGAGUUUGGUGUCUUUAUGACCUGCCUCUUUAGGAGGAGUAAACCUUGCUUGAACCUUGUUACGUUUUGCUCUCUGCCCAGACAAUCUCACGUCUUUGUUGUUUCAAUUUAAUGUUAAAACUGUAUGAAUGCUACUACUGUAAACUCCUC
RNAcentral lists this long non-coding RNA (1121 nucleotides) under Brassica napus (rape). RNAcentral describes it as "long non-coding RNA (BNAP_LNC027160)". Lineage: Eukaryota; Viridiplantae; Streptophyta; Magnoliopsida; Brassicales; Brassicaceae. The record is from RNAcentral.